CCAAUGGUUUUUUCCCAGCGUUUUUGGGUUGGUAGACACGCCAGAUACCCAAAUGAACGUGUAGAAGCACUAAAAAAGUGGAAUUUUCAUAAUAUGGCCCCUUUAAGACGCGUGGUCCUUGCUCUAAAGGAUCUGUACCGUCUACCUGAGGGCAGGAGAGUAAACAGGUGGUGGCCUGGGUGAGAGGAGUCUUUUAAGAUGUUAUUGGCCCUGCUAAGGUACCGGGAGCGGGCAAUGGAUUCCAGGGAGGGCAGUGAGCAGCCAGUGAUUUUUUGUGCUGUGUUGAUGACCCUUUGGAGGGCUCUCUUGUCUGCUGCGGUGCAACCGGAGUACCACGCCGAGAUGCAGUAGUUUCAUUGCAAGACGUAUUGGGCUUAUCAUCACUGCAAUUCCUGUUCAUGCAGUAGCUGUUAACAAGGGCCCGUAGGAGAUCGUCACAGCUGAUCUGGAAAUAAACAAAACCAUCUGUAAGUCUAUUAGCCUCUCGUCUAAGGUUAUUGUUAAGCAGUUGCACAGAGACAUGUCACCUUAUCACCACAGCCGAGUGGAAUCUCUAAUCGAAAAUCUCUGGGGAUGCUAUUAGCCUGAAAAUGAUAGGACAUAAACAUGUCAAAUGUAUUUGUUUAUUUAUUUGUGAUGACCACAUAAAUCCAUUGUAGAAAUGCAUAGUUACCUUCAGUGAUGAAGAGUGUUUCCACUGUGCAACACUGAAGCCUGACAAGUUUUAAAAAGUACAAUGUGCUUCCACACAACCUCAUAUAAGAUAUAUAAACAUCUGUAACUACCGGUGACGUGCGGUGAGGGUCGUGGUUGGUGAGGCACUGACUCUUUCAGAGUCAGAUUUACAAAUAUAUAAACCCAAUAGAGUAUCUUAAAUCACCAUUCAAUUGGCAGCUUGCACAUUGACUACUGGUUGUUUUUCAUAUCAGCAUUCUUUACACAUAGGUAAGGUACAUACAGUUGGCAGCUACUAGCUUGUGAUGAGCUCGUGUUAAUAUGUGUGAAUAUGCACUCAUGAAUAUGAUCUCUUUGAUACGAAGUUGCACAGGCACCCUGAGGGUUUCUACCUUUUCCCAUUAUAAUUUUAAGAGUUAAAUCGAGGAGACUAUAACAUCAGCUAGAUAACUAGCUAUCAUUUCAUGCACAUUGAACUCUUCUAUUUAAAGUAACACUAUGCAACAAUUUGACACUUUUUGAGAUAUGUUUUUAUAGGCAACUAGUUUUGGUACCAUCCUCAAAUGAAUUUUGAUAGCAUAUGGUCAUGUGAAGGACAGAUACACACCUGUGUCUUCCCCACUAGCCAUCCAGGAUAUGCCUUAUGUAGUUCUGUGUAACAGGCUGGUACACCCUGCAAAAAUGGAAGAAAGCUUUCUCGCAUGACAUUGCCAGUUAAACUGCCAAAAGGCACCAGUUUGUGUGUUGGCAAGCUUCUAUCAGUGUCAACUGUGCUGUCGGUGGUGUUUGCAAGGUUUUUGCAUGCCUUUUAGGUAGUUAGCUUAUUGGUUUUGGAACAAAAAACGUAUUGCUGCUUUAAAGCGUUUAAGGUUAUUAAGUGUCAUUAGCUAGCUAAUUAGCUAACAUAGCAACUAGAUAACCAUAGCAACCAGGAAACACAACUUUAGCUGCAAUUUAAGUUUAAUUUCUCAAAAUCAGCUCACCAAUAAAAAGCAGUGUUGGGUUCAAAGUGAUCACAACCUCUUGUGUGAUGUUAAAUGGCUUCACAUAGACAUUAAACAAUCCUAAGAAAAACAAUGGGAAAUCAACGGAGCAAGGGCUCUGAUAUCUAUAUAAUGUUAGCGAAUGAAGGGUGAGAAGCCCAUUGCUAAUAUUUAGUCUCCGCUGUACGUCCAAAACCAAAUCUAUUCUUGAGGUUCCAAACAUUUUCAAAGCAAUUUGGCUUUGAAUGUGAGUAGUCGAUCAAGUUAUCUUCUGUCCCGUCGUUUGAAGCAUACCUUUAAGCGCCUUUUGGUCUCCCAUUAUUGAUCACUUAACGUUUUGAAUGAAAGUCCAGUUUUGAGAAAUGUUUUAACUUAGCUAUAGAAUCUUCCAUUUUUGCAGUCAAUGUCAAAUAUAGGUGUAGUAGAAGAAGAGCAACGCAGAACAAGCAUAAACCCGAUCGGUGGGCUCGUGCACGCCCCUUCAUUGAGGCAGAGGUACUGUUUGCAGAAACUCUGUGCUUUUUCACUGCGGUUUUAUGUCAGAUCAGCAAGACUAAAUAGGUACUAUGCAUGCGCUCAACCUAGUUUGUGAUGGAUUGCGCAAUCUGAGAUGAGGCUGUCGCUACCGGAUGGUAGUCCUCUACCCGAUAGUAGUCCCGCACAUCGCGCAUGCUCAGACACAAAAGGUUUACGGCAGAAGGCUCAACGUCAACAUAUGGGGCUGUCUUAACGCAUAAUGUGGGUAUAUUUAAUGUAAUAUUAAAUUAUUAAAAGUGUGGAGACGGAGUAAGGGUAAAAGGCAAAUAGUUUGUAUAAUGAAGAAGUGAGAAAAUAUAGCAGUAGGUAAAACAAAUAAAGCAUUGAUGUGCUAGCCAAUAGAACUUGACAGGGAGAACAAAAGAGGAUAUCCAGUAUAUCUUUAACUUCUUUACUUCUUUAUUAUACAAACGUUAAGAACUUACAGCUGUAUACAAUGACCAAACUUCUUAAAGUAUACCGUCUUUCACGAACUUCCAUCAGCUUUAGCCAGCGAUUGUAUUCCGCUGUCUACAGUGUCGCAAAGUGGCGACUGAUCGGGUAGUGCGCAUGCGGACUACCAUCGGGUAGAGGACUACCAUCAGGUAGCGACAGAGGCACAGCUCGUCGCUGCCUCACCGUCUCACUGUUUCCUGUCUGUUUGAACAGGACAUGCGCAAAUUCAGCGAUUUUUAUUAUAAAAAUGCUCGAAAUGAUUGGAAUCAUGCAUAAAUUACAUUUAUAGCACAGAUCAGUAGAGAAAUAGUAAUAUUUAUUUUAUCAUUAUUUGUUUUUUUACUUUUCAUGAUGACAGGUGAGGCUCUGCCCCCCCUGCCUUCCCUGACCGCACGUCCCUGGUUACUACCCCUUAGCGAAACAUAUGAUCCAAACAACAUGCAUAACAUGGUAGUCUGGCUGUCUUUAAAGCAGCAGUAAGGGGCUUUGAUCUAAAACUAGCAAGCUAACUACCUAAAAGGCAUGUAAAAACCUUGCAGACACCACCAACUAUAUAGUGCAUGUCCUGCAUGGCUAGUGGGAACAACAGGUGUGCUUAUUUGUCUAUCACAUGACCAUAUACCAUCAAAGUGUAUUUGAAGAUAAUACCAAAACUAUUUGCCUACAAAAGCGUACCUUACAAAGUGGCAAAUUGUUGCGGUUUUCCUUUAAAUCUGAGCAUUUGUGUAUCCCAGGAAAUCUAAAUUACAGACUUGCAAUUAGUUUUAAAGGUGGAAUCCUUGAAUAUUGUAUGACUCAGUCUGAGCCACUGUGUUUUCCCUGUUUACAGAGCCAGGGCUAGGUUUCCAGAACGUGUUGCAAGCCUAAGUAGUAAAUCACUCUUACGAAUCAUCUUAGAUUUUCGGAGCAUUUCCCAAAAGCAUCGUAAUUUGUAAUACGACUUAACAACAAUACAUUUGUCAAUGUUAAAUGCAAGGGUACGCUCCCAUCCUUCAUUAUAUUUUAUUCAGCGUCUAUUCAGUCAUCAGCAUUUAGCUUUAAAAAGUUAGGCUAUUUUAAGCUUAUAGAGAUAUGUUUAAAAUAUAGACACAUCAUUGGCAAAGUUAUUAAAUGAGACAUUGACAGUCGUUACUGAUUCCAUUUGUCUAAGUUUAGCUCUUUUUUUGAAGGGGGCAGGUAGGGAGGCAUAUUGUAGACUACAUUCAGUAGGGCCUAGGCCUAGCUCACAAGUUGGUACAGAAAGCGGAAGAGAUUAGGGGACUUGUGCUGUGUCAAAAUCAACCGUAUAUUUAACCUAUUUACUUAUUUCCUCACUAUCGUCCUCGACAUCUUCUUGAUCCUUUUUGGUGAUGAGAAGUGUAAUGGAUUAUAAUCAAGGACAGCACCUUCAACGUAAUUACAUUUAUCUACAAAACUGUCAGUUUUUACAGUGUCCACUGCUGAAUUUAAUUUUUUGUAACAGCACCUUUAUCAGCACAUAAAAACUUACCCACUCCUUAAUGAUUGGGAUAUACGGACAGUUGGGGUCUGUAGCAGCAACAAAUCGACACUGUAGUAUUAUCUGUGCAAGAAAUUAUUAAUAUAUUAACACCCAAAAACACUAUAUUAGACAGUGCAUGUCAAAUAGAGAAAUAUAAUAAAAGAGAAUAACAACAUAAUGUAUAAUAUAAGUUAUAAUGAAGUGAAACAAAAAGAAACACCAGUUUGGAUUGCGUGGCAUACAGUUGCAGAACCUGAUAAAUAUGAUAUUGCUACAGAUAAAAACCAUUACCCUUCAUGAAACUGUGGGCUUAGCAUCAGCAAUGAUCAACAAUUUGGCAAUCUACUCACAAUUAGCAGUGUUUUUAUGGUGGAGGAUUUCCCACUCGUCACAUGAUGUGACACAUGAAAAUCAUCAACAAUCAUCUCCUCAUGAAAUACCUUACACAGAGAGAAACGCAUGGGAUUCAGUGAAGAGUUUUAAAACAUAUCAUAUUCAAUCUGAUGACUUCCUAUCAUUCAAUCUGAUCAGUUCAGUUCAGCCAGCCUCCUUCCGAAAGAAGAGCUGGAUCAUGGGCAUCAAAUCGAUAUUCUUUUAUUUUAUUAAUUAUAAAUGUAUUAUUUAUCAACCAUAGUAGGGGGUAGACAUGCAUGUCAGUAAAUUAUGAUCAAUUGUUGUAGCAAAAGCAGUCAUAUCAUAACUGUAUGGAUUAUUGUAGUUGUUGUAUUAUUUUGGAGGGGAAUAUUUGCUGACUUACUCCUCAUGUGAUUCAUUGUAGUUUUGUGGUCAACCUCACAAAAGGGCCACUAUCUCAGCAGUCUACCAUUUUUCUUAUAAACGCUCUCAGCCAGAAUGGAAAAAGGUGACAGGCUGGAAAAAAUUGAAUAUGCUUAAAUAUGAGAGGUACAAUGCAAAAUCUGAUCGUUUUCAAGAUUUUAAAAUAAAAGUUGGCGUGCGCAGCCUUUCAGGCGUGUGGCCUACUGCCCACUAGAGGCCACAUUCACAUACACUGACACAGCAAAACUAGUGAGGCUGGGAAAACAAGAAUGUGUAUCCCUUCUAUGUAUGGGCCGAAUCUGUUUGUUAGAAGGUGUAGAACAAGAUUCUGAAAUGCAGUAUAAAGUGAGGAAUUGUCGUUCCUAUAGCGUGUACAGCCUUUCAGGCGCGUGGUUUAUUGAACUCUAUAGAACGAGUUGACAUACACCGAUACUGGAACGUUAGCUUUAUUAAACUCUUCCAUAUAUUUAAUCAAUGGAGCUUUUUUGGCAACAUUCUGAAGAGCCUUGUAAUAAGUAAGGGAUAAUGUACUGUAUAGUCCGCUGGUCAUUAUUGGAAAAUAACUCCUUUCAGGGCGAAAGAGUCGCAUGCCAUUGAAUGGGCUACCAUAACGUUCGGAGGUCUGAUAUUUCUUUAUAUUUACCGCUGCAAAAAAAUGAAUGACCGCUGCCAUUGGCAACGGGUUUUGUGCUGAUAAUUCACAUCUUUCAUAUCAUACCAUCUCCGCUGCGCAUCGGGGUCCUGUUCCACCUGUCGGGAUUUAUUGUCCAAUACCCAGCGGACUUUACAUGAUCCCUUACAUAUUUCACUUUCUUAAAUUAGAAUCUAUAAUCACAAUUAACACGAGGCAGACAUGCACAUUAUGAUCAAAAUUACGUUUACUUUCAACACUCACUGUACCGUGCGCCUUGGAGCCACCGUUUUAAAUCAAGACUGACUAGCCUAUUACCUGAUAGUUUCUCCACUGAGACUGCUUCAACAUUUCCUGAAUCUAUGGCACGUUGUCGCCAAAGCCGCGCCCCAUUACGAGCGAGCUGGUGUCGUUUUGCAAAGCCCCCCUAUACUAAUGCUAGUUAUACCAGUAAGUCUCACUGAAGUUACAAAAUGAACAUGUAAAAUGAACUUAAACCCUUUGAUGAAAUCUAAUGUAAGCUAUAACAUCAAAGAAAGUAAAGUAACAUUUACAACAAGUAACAGUUAUGUUUACAAUCCAAUCUGCUCUCACCCAUGUAGAGGAGAAGGGACAACACUCACUUUGGAGACUGGAAGUGAAAGGUUUUUGGUUGAGGUGUUUCGGUUUCUGAACAGUCUCUGGAGUGACCUCUCCUUUGUCGUCACACUCACGGCUGUCCAGGGAAAAAUAAUUGAUGUCUCCUUUAGUCCUUUCAUUAUGUGUGUAUGGGGCUGUUACUUUUCGUUAACUUUCCCAUACGCUCUAAUACGCAGACCAUACCUGCCAACUCUCCCGUUUUUCCCGGGUUUCUCCCGUACUCUCUGACCCAUCUCCCGCCCCCUUCCGUUAUGUCAUUUCUGUAUGAAACGCAAUCAUGUCUUACACAAUAAAUACACUAUACCAUAUUCAACCCAUUUGUCAAUAUGGCAACCUAUAUCAUAUUGCGCAAUUGAUUUUACUGCGUAGCAGUGCCGGAUUAUCAGGGGCGAUGUGUUCCUUUGGGCAAGGCGGGC
This is a long non-coding RNA of Clupea harengus (Atlantic herring), 6573 nucleotides long. Lineage: Eukaryota; Metazoa; Chordata; Actinopteri; Clupeiformes; Clupeidae. The record is from Ensembl.